Molecule: non-coding RNA, 86 nt
Organism: Thalictrum thalictroides
Lineage: Eukaryota; Viridiplantae; Streptophyta; Magnoliopsida; Ranunculales; Ranunculaceae
Source: the annotation of a GenBank genome assembly
GCCAGUGAUGAUGGUUUUGGUUGACAGAAAGCAAAUCUAUGUAUUUGCGAAAUGUCGAAACUUUAUGAACUAGGACGGUCUGAGGC